Molecule: ribosomal RNA, 465 nt
Filed under: Vreelandella stevensii
Lineage: Bacteria; Pseudomonadati; Pseudomonadota; Gammaproteobacteria; Oceanospirillales; Halomonadaceae
Description: partial 16S ribosomal RNA
Rfam family: Bacterial small subunit ribosomal RNA
Source: RNAcentral
CCUACGGGAGGCUGCAGUGGGGAAUAUUGGACAAUGGGCGAAAGCCUGAUCCAGCCAUGCCGCGUGUGUGAAGAAGGCCUUCGGGUUGUAAAGCACUUUCAGUGGGGAAGAAAGCCUUGGGGCUAAUACCCUCGAGGAAGGACAUCACCCACAGAAGAAGCACCGGCUAACUCCGUGCCAGCAGCCGCGGUAAUACGGAGGGUGUGAGCGUUAAUCGGAAUUACUGGGCGUAAAGCGCGCGUAGGCGGUCUGAUAAGCCGGUUGUGAAAGCCCCGGGCUCAACCUGGGAACGGCAUCCGGAACUGUCAGGCUAGAGUGCAGGAGAGGAAGGUAGAAUUCCCGGUGUAGCGGUGAAAUGCGUAGAGAUCGGGAGGAAUACCAGUGGCGAAGGCGGCCUUCUGGACUGACACUGACGCUGAGGUGCGAAAGCGUGGGUAGCAAACAGGAUUAGAUACCCGGGUAGUC